UCUAAAAUUUGCCUUUUGAAUGAAAUGGUCUAUUACCUUAUUUGAAAGGGUCAUGAAUAUUAAUGUUGAGCUCUGCUCUGAUUGGCUGUUUCUCAGAGCAGCUCCUUCAGUCGUUAUGUGUGUUUGUAAACAUAUCUUAUGUUUGAGUCUGUAUCAGAUGAAAAUACUGAUUUUUAAGGAAUAAUUAAUUGUUUGUAGAUUGUUAAUGGACGUUUUUGAGUGCUGUUAAGUAAUAGAGAACAUACUUGAAAGGCACACUGAGCAGACGUAGCCGAUUUCAAUGAGGUUUCGGUGGCAGAAGCAAGCGGCCCGGUAGUCCACGUGCACAGGAGGCGGCAAUAACAGCUGGGAACGCUGGUCUGCAUCUGGUAAAAAAACCCAC
Misgurnus anguillicaudatus (oriental weatherfish) is the source of this 382-nucleotide long non-coding RNA. RefSeq lists it as uncharacterized. The record is from RefSeq and is a predicted model, not a curated record. Lineage: Eukaryota; Metazoa; Chordata; Actinopteri; Cypriniformes; Cobitidae.